RNAcentral lists this microRNA (23 nucleotides) under Aedes aegypti (yellow fever mosquito). RNAcentral describes it as "Aae-Mir-22-P2_3p (mature (guide))". Lineage: Eukaryota; Metazoa; Arthropoda; Insecta; Diptera; Culicidae. The record is from RNAcentral.
UAGCUGCCUAGUGAAGGGCAAUA